Molecule: non-coding RNA, 531 nt
Organism: Rhopilema esculentum
Lineage: Eukaryota; Metazoa; Cnidaria; Scyphozoa; Rhizostomeae; Rhizostomatidae
Source: RefSeq, a predicted model, not a curated record
AUAGGCCCCAUUUUUCCCGUGUAAACAGGGUCUUAAUGACUUUUAUGAGAUCUGCUUAUGCGCUUUUGAUUUAUGCUACAUAAAGCAAAAACUUGUUUCUGAAUCCUUGGAGCUAAAUUUUUUAUGGAUCUCAACAUUAUUUCAGGUGUAAAUACUGCAAGCAAUUCACGCCCGUUUGGAAUGAGCUGGCAGCGAGUGUUUUCAAUGAAGGAAUCAUGGUCAAAAUAGCAAAGGUAGAUUGCACAAAGGAAAUAAUACUUUGCAGAGAAUUAAAGAUAUCGCAGUACCCAUCACUUUUGCUCUUCAAAUCACGGCUGAGCUUUGAACAAUAUACUGGCAGCAGAGACUUAAAGAGUCUCUUGCAGUUCUUGAAGCAACGUGAGCAUGAUGAACUGUAAAUCUUUCUACACCACAUUCAUCUAUAAUGUAUGCAGAACUGUUUGCAAAAUACAACAAUCCUUAACAUUAUGUAUGAUACUAUUUAAUAUUGGUAGAAUGGUGUUUUGAAGUAGCUGUGACAAGAUUGUUUUA